CUUCACCGAGCCGAGCAGCAGCGGACGGUCGGCGGGGCGGUUGCGGCCGUAGGUGGCGAGCAGCGCCUCCGCCUC
This 75-nucleotide antisense RNA is filed under the name Streptomyces mutabilis. Its description in RNAcentral is "Aspks sRNA". It matches the Rfam family "ASpks TB sRNA". The record is from RNAcentral. Lineage: Bacteria; Bacillati; Actinomycetota; Actinomycetes; Kitasatosporales; Streptomycetaceae.